This 76-nucleotide transfer RNA is filed under the name Acidobacteriota bacterium. Its description in RNAcentral is "Acidobacteria bacterium (groundwater metagenome) tRNA-Ala". It matches the Rfam family "tRNA". From Rfam's summary of the family: Transfer RNA (tRNA) molecules are approximately 80 nucleotides in length. Their secondary structure includes four short double-helical elements and three loops (D, anti-codon, and T loops). Further hydrogen bonds mediate the characteristic L-shaped molecular structure. tRNAs have two regions of fundamental functional importance: the anti-codon, which is responsible for specific mRNA codon recognition, and the 3' end, to which the tRNAs corresponding amino acid is attached (by aminoacyl-tRNA synthetases). tRNAs cope with the degeneracy of the genetic code in two manners: having more than one tRNA (with a specific anti-codon) for a particular amino acid; and 'wobble' base-pairing, i.e. permitting non-standard base-pairing at the 3rd anti-codon position. The record is from RNAcentral. Lineage: Bacteria; Pseudomonadati; Acidobacteriota. RNAcentral also lists the same sequence under 2 other names.
GGGCGGUUAGCUCAGUCGGGAGAGCGCGGCGUUCGCAAUGCCGAGGUCGUGGGUUCGAGCCCCAUACCGUCCACCA